This is a long non-coding RNA of Zophobas morio, 1060 nucleotides long. RefSeq lists it as uncharacterized. The record is from RefSeq and is a predicted model, not a curated record. Lineage: Eukaryota; Metazoa; Arthropoda; Insecta; Coleoptera; Tenebrionidae. The transcript has 2 exons.
UUCAUAACAUCAAGAUCUUCUGUAUGUUUUGUCCAUUCACUGAGGUUUGCACUCGGAAUACGAACACAACUACAGUAAAUUUUCUAGAUUUAAAUUAAUUUACCAUAGAACUAACGUAAACCGUAAAAAAGUAAAGCAACUUAAUUGAUCAAUCAAAAAGGAGGAUAUUUUUUAUUUGAGGAGGACACGAGGAGGACAUUUACGCUAGGAGGACAGCAUACAUGAAAGGAGGACUGUCCUCCUCAAAGGAGUACGUCUGGUCACCUUACAACUGAAAGCCUUGAUCUUCAUCCCUACAAUAGAUAUCUGAAACAUGCCAGAUCUGCAUAACAGGAAUGUCAAAGAGGUUCUACCCAAAACACGCCCACAUGGCCAUCCUAAUAUCAAGAUUUUUCAAAAUUUCUAUAACAAAAAAGAUGAAAAAACCAAUAAAAUUUCAGGAGCAUAGUGUUAAGAGUUCUGUAGAUGAUUAUGAGAUCUCUUGAAACAACAGAAUGUUUAAUAAAGAUUUUUAACUUUCCUAAUAGUAAAAUUACAAUUAUUACUAAACAGUAAGUUGAAGUAAGUUUUAAAUUAAGAAAAUGCAACUAACACCGAAAGAAAAAUGAAAGUUACUGAAAAUAAAAAACUUUAUUGCAGUACCUACAUACACUUUCUACAUCUAAUUUUGUUUAUUGAUCACAUUCAUUUACUUGAAAAAGUAUCAGGCCUAUGAAUCGUCGUCUGGAAACAGCUAACCACACACCAACCUUCAUUGCGUGUGAUGGUGUUUCUUCAAAAGCGUGAGUAUUUUCUAUACACCAAAUUCUGAAGUUCUGUCAGUUGACAUAAUAGCCUAACAGAUGAAACCAGGCUUCAUCAGAAAAGAACGACAAAUCGAGAAUCCCGUUAUCGUCCAUAUCAGCUUGAAACCAACUACAAUACCCAACGCGGCAAGGAAAAUCAGCUGGUUGCAGCUCCUGAACCAACAAAAUCUUGUAUGGAUGCAUAUGUAACUUCUCUUUUACGAUUUUCUGACAUGGGCUGUAUGGUACUCCGGACAGUAAAGAUUUUUGACAAA